This 958-nucleotide non-coding RNA is filed under the name Stylephorus chordatus (tube-eye). RNAcentral describes it as "12 rRNA". It matches the Rfam family "Bacterial small subunit ribosomal RNA". Lineage: Eukaryota; Metazoa; Chordata; Actinopteri; Stylephoriformes; Stylephoridae. The record is from RNAcentral.
CAAAGGCUUGGUCCUGACUUUACUAUCAAUUUUAGCCUAAAUUACACAUGCAAGUCUCCUCAUACCUGUGAAGAUGCCCUUAACCUGUUCGACACCCGAAAGUAAGGAGCAGACAUCAGGCACACCCCUCCGUACCCACGACGUCUUGCUUAGCCACACCCCCAAGGGAACUCAGCAGUGAUAAAUAUUAAGCAAUUAGUGAAAACUUGACUUAGUCAGGGCUAAGCAGGGCCGGUAAAACUCGUGCCAGCCACCGCGGUUAUACGAGAGGCCCAAAUUGAUACCUCACGGCGUAAAGCGUGGUUAAGAAACUACUCUCCCAUAGGGCCGAACAGUCACAAGGCAGUUAUACGCACCCGAGACUAUGAAGCACUCCCCUACGAAAGUGACCCUACCUAACUUCUGAACCCACGAAAGCUAUAGAACAAACUGGGAUUAGAUACCCCACUAUGUAUAGUUGUUAACUUUGAUGUCGAAAUACAAUCGCCAUCCGCCCGGGAACUACGAGCGCCAGCUUAAAACCCAAAGGACUUGGCGGUGCUUUAGACCCCCCUAGAGGAGCCUGUUCUAUAACCGAUAACCCCCGUUCAACCUCACCAUCCCUUGUUAAUCCCGCCUAUAUACCGCCGUCGUCAGCUUACCCUAUGAAGGCAUAAUAGUAAGCACAAUUGGCAUAGCCAAAAACGUCAGGUCGAGGUGUAGCGAAUGAGAUGGAAAGAAAUGGGCUACAUUCUCUACUACAGAGAACUACAGAUGACAUACUGAAAUUACAUGUCUGAAGGAGGAUUUAGCAGUAAGUAAGGAAUAGAAUGCCCUGCUGAAACUGGCCCUAAAGCACGCACACACCGCCCGUCACUCUCCCCAAAGAUAAACCCAUUCUUUAUAUAAAAUAACCCAUAUAACAAGGGGAGACAAGUCGUAACAUGGUAAGCGUACCGGAAGGUGUGCUUGGAAUAAU